RNAcentral lists this ribosomal RNA (442 nucleotides) under uncultured bacterium. RNAcentral describes it as "partial 16S ribosomal RNA". It matches the Rfam family "Bacterial small subunit ribosomal RNA", at positions 338 to 795 of the family's 1533-position model. The record is from RNAcentral.
CCUACGGGGGGCAGCAGUGGGGGAUAUUGCACAAUGGGGGAAACCCUGAUGCAGCGACGCCGCGUGGGCGAAGAAGUAUUUCGGUAUGUAAAGCCCUAUCAGCAGGGAGGAAGAAGUGAAGGUACCUGACUAAGAAGCACCGGCUAAAUCCGUGCCAGUAGCCGCGGUAAUACGGAGGGUGCAAGCGUUAUCCGGAGUUACUGGGUGUAAAGGGAGCGCAGGCGGCAGGGCAAGCCUGAGGUGAAAGCCCGCGGCCCAACCGCGGGAUUGCAUUGGGAACUACCGGGCUGGAGUGUCGGAGAGGUAGGCGGAAUGCCUGGUGUAGCGGUGAAAUGCGUAGAUAUUAGGAGGAACACCAGUGGCGAAGGCGGCCUACUGGACGAUGACUGACGCUGAGGCACGAAAGCGUGGGGAGCAAACAGGAUUAGAUACCCGUGUAGUC